AGUGAACGCUGGCGGUAGGCCUAACACAUGCAAGUCGAACGGCAGCACAGUAAGAGCUUGCUCUUACGGGUGGCGAGUGGCGGACGGGUGAGGAAUACAUCGGAAUCUACUUUUUCGUGGGGGAUAACGUAGGGAAACUUACGCUAAUACCGCAUACGGCCUACGGGUGAAAGCAGGGGAUCUUCUGACCUUGCGCGAUUGAAUGAGCCGAUGUCGGAUUAGCUAGUUGGCGGGGUAAAGGCCCACCAAGGCGACGAUCCGUAGCUGGUCUGAGAGGAUGAUCAGCCACACUGGAUCUGAGACACGGCCCAGACUCCUACGGGAGGCAGCAGUGGGGAAUAUUGGACAAUGGGCGCAAGCCUGAUCCAGCAAUACCGCGUGGGUGAAGAAGGCCUUCGGGUUGUAAAGCCCUUUUGUUGGGAAAGAAAAGCAGCAGGUUAAUACCCCGCUGUUCUGACGGUACCCAAAGAAUAAGCACCGGCUAACUUCGUG
RNAcentral lists this ribosomal RNA (492 nucleotides) under uncultured bacterium. RNAcentral's name for it is "partial 16S ribosomal RNA". It matches the Rfam family "Bacterial small subunit ribosomal RNA", at positions 29 to 507 of the family's 1533-position model. The record is from RNAcentral.